GACGAACGCUGGCGGCGUGCCUAAUACAUGCAAGUUGAGCGCUGAAGGUUGGUACUUGUACCAACUGGAUGAGCAGCGAACGGGUGAGUAACGCGUGGGGAAUCUGCCUUUGAGCGGGGGACAACAUUUGGAAACGAAUGCUAAUACCGCAUAAAAACUUUAAACACAAGUUUUAAGUUUGAAAGAUGCAAUUGCAUCACUCAAAGAUGAUCCCGCGUUGUAUUAGCUAGUUGGUGAGGUAAAGGCUCACCAAGGCGAUGAUACAUAGCCGACCUGAGAGGGUGAUCGGCCAAAUUGGGACUGAGACACGGCCCAAACUGCUACGGGAGGCAGCAGUAGGGAAACUUCGGCAAUGGACGAAAGUCUGACCGAGCAACGGCGCGGGAGUGAAGAAGGUUUUCGGAUCGUAAAACUCUGUUGGUAGAGAAGAACGUUGGUGAGAGUGGAAAGCUCAUCAAGUGACGGUAACUACCCAGAAAGGGACGGCUAACUACGUG
This 497-nucleotide ribosomal RNA is filed under the name uncultured bacterium. Its description in RNAcentral is "partial 16S ribosomal RNA". It matches the Rfam family "Bacterial small subunit ribosomal RNA", at positions 28 to 507 of the family's 1533-position model. The record is from RNAcentral.